This 503-nucleotide ribosomal RNA is filed under the name uncultured bacterium. Its description in RNAcentral is "partial 16S ribosomal RNA". It matches the Rfam family "Bacterial small subunit ribosomal RNA", at positions 30 to 523 of the family's 1533-position model. The record is from RNAcentral.
AUUGAACGCUGGCGGCAGGCUUAACGCAUGCAAGUCGAGCGGGGUGAUGGUGCUUGCACUAUCACUUAGCGGCGGACGGGUGAGUAAUGCUUAGGAAUCUGCCUAUUAGUGGGGGACAACAUCUCGAAAGGGAUGCUAAUACCGCAUACGUCCUACGGGAGAAAGCAGGGGAUCACUUGUGACCUUGCGCUAAUAGAUGAGCCUAAGUCGGAUUAGCUAGUUGGUGGGGUAAAGGCCUACCAAGGCGACGAUCUGUAGCGGGUCUGAGAGGAUGAUCCGCCACACUGAGGCUGAGACACGGCCCAGACUCCUACGGGAGGCAGCAGUGGGGAAUAUUGGACAAUGGGGGGAACCCUGAUCCAGCCAUGCCGCGUGUGUGAAGAAGGCCUUAUGGUUGUAAAGCACUUUAAGCGAGGAGGAGGCUCUUUUGGUUAAUACCCAAGAUGAGUGGACGUUACUCGCGGAAUAAGCACCGGCUAACUCUGUGCCAGCCGCCGCGGUAA